This 439-nucleotide ribosomal RNA is filed under the name uncultured bacterium. Its description in RNAcentral is "partial 16S ribosomal RNA". It matches the Rfam family "Bacterial small subunit ribosomal RNA", at positions 338 to 795 of the family's 1533-position model. The record is from RNAcentral.
CCUACGGGUGGCAGCAGUGGGGGAUAUUGCACACUGGAGGAAACUCUGAUGCAGCGACGCCGCGUGAGGGAAGACGGUCUUCGGAUUGUAAACCUCUGUCUUUGGGGAAUAAAAUGACGGUACCCAAAGAGGAAGCUCCGGCUAACUAAGUGCCAGCAGCCGCGGCAAUACGUAGGGAUAGCUCGUUGUCCUGCAUUACUGGGUGUAAAGGGAGCUUAGGCGGGUGAGAAAUUUGAAUGUUAAAUUUCCCGUCUUAACUGGUAGCUGCGUUCAAAACUUCUUGUCUUGAGUGAAGUAGAGGCAGGCGGAAUUCCUAGUGUAGCGGUGAAAUGCGUAGAGAUUAGGAGGAACACCAGUGGCGAAGGCGGCCGGCUGGGCUUUAACUGACGCUGAGGCUCGAAAGCGUGGGGAGCAAACAGGAUUAGAUACCCCAGUAGUC